GAUGAACGCUGGCGGCGUGCCUAACACAUGCAAGUCGAGCGAAGCACUUACUUUAGCUUUCUUCGGAAUGACGAAGUUUGUGACUGAGCGGCGGACGGGUGAGUAACGCGUGGGCAACCUGCCCUGUACAGGGGGAUAACAGUUAGAAAUGACUGCUAAUACCGCAUAAGCCCACAGCUUCGCAUGAAGCAGUGGGAAAAACUCCGGUGGUACAGGAUGGGCCCGCGUCUGAUUAGCUAGUUGGUAAGGUAACGGCUUACCAAGGCGACGAUCAGUAGCCGACCUGAGAGGGUGACCGGCCACAUUGGGACUGAGACACGGCCCAAACUCCUACGGGAGGCAGCAGUGGGGAAUAUUGCACAAUGGGGGAAACCCUGAUGCAGCGACGCCGCGUGAGCGAUGAAGUAUUUCGGUAUGUAAAGCUCUAUCAGCAGGGAAGAAAGUGACGGUACCUGACUAAGAAGCCCCGGCUAACUACGUG
RNAcentral lists this ribosomal RNA (481 nucleotides) under uncultured bacterium. RNAcentral's name for it is "partial 16S ribosomal RNA". It matches the Rfam family "Bacterial small subunit ribosomal RNA", at positions 28 to 507 of the family's 1533-position model. The record is from RNAcentral.